Molecule: ribosomal RNA, 840 nt
Filed under: Diaporthe rudis
Lineage: Eukaryota; Fungi; Ascomycota; Sordariomycetes; Diaporthales; Diaporthaceae
Description: eukaryotic LSU rRNA
Rfam family: Eukaryotic large subunit ribosomal RNA
Source: RNAcentral
CAACAGGGAUUGCCCUAGUAACGGCGAGUGAAGCGGCAACAGCUCAAAUUUGAAAUCUGGCCUCGGCCCGAGUUGUAAUUUGCAGAGGAUGUUUCUGGCGCGGUGCCUUCCGAGUUCCCUGGAACGGGACGCCAAAGAGGGUGAGAGCCCCGUAUGGUCGGACACCAAGCCUGUGUGAAACUCCUUCGACGAGUCGAGUAGUUUGGGAAUGCUGCUCUAAAUGGGAGGUAAAUCUCUUCUAAAGCUAAAUACCGGCCAGAGACCGAUAGCGCACAAGUAGAGUGAUCGAAAGAUGAAAAGCACCUUGAAAAGGGGGUUAAAUAGUACGUGAAAUUGUUGAAAGGGAAGCACUUAUGACCAGACUUGGGCCGGGCGGCUCAUCAGGGGUUCUCCCCUGUGCACUCCGCCCGGCACAGGCCAGCAUCGGUUCUCGUGGGGGGAUAAGACCGUCAGGAACGUAGCACCCUCCGGGGUGUGUUAUAGCCUGGCGGACGAUACCCUCGUGGGGACCGAGGUUCGCGCUCCGCAAGGAUGCUGGCGUAAUGGUCAUCAGUGACCCGUCUUGAAACACGGACCAAGGAGUCGUCCAUUAGAGCGAGCGUUUGGGUGUAAAACCCGCACGCGUAAUGAAAGUGAACGCAGGUGAGAGCUUCGGCGCAUCAUCGACCGAUCCUGAUGUUCUCGGAAGGAUUUGAGUAAGAGUUUUAACGGACGGACCCGAAAGACAGUGAACUAUGCUUGUAUAGGGUGAAGCCAGAGGAAACUCUGGUGGAGGCUCGCAGCGGUUCUGACGUGCAAAUCGAUCGUCAAAUAUGAGCAUGGGGGCGAAAGACUAAUCGA